GGAAAGGCUUCCGGGUCCUGUCGGCCUUCCUCACACACCGGGGGCUCCACGCUGCCGCCCAGCUCUGAGGGCCAGCCGGAGGCGGGCCUAGGACAGGGGCUACACGGGCUCCUAAGUGCUUGCCGAUGGCUUCUGGCCGAUCCCUUUCCCAGACCGUCCUGCCCCGCCCCCCAGUGGGACCUUCCUCCCUGCCAGCGGGGCCAGUGGCCUUCUCCGGCCUUCUCCAAGCGGCUGGGCCAGAGCCUUUGGUCCCCGCUUUAGGACCCCUCCCAUCAUUUCUUUCCCCUUUAUGGGAAAAGAGAGAAGACUAAGGAGAGACUCUGGGGCCUCCUCCCUGACCUUGCUUUUCUGCUGCAGGGGGGCAGGCCCGUGGCCUUGCUGUGGCCCCAAACUCUGGUGUGUGUGUGGGAGAGGCCAGGGUUCCGGAGGCAGCCCCUCUCCCAUCUGUGAGUCCUGAUACUCGCUGCCGCCUCCUCUUCCUCCUCUGUCCCCGGGGUGCUCUGAGGCUCCCAGAGAACCCCGGGGGAGCAGGGAAUAGCCUGUGGACACACAGCUUGGAAGCCUCUGGGACUUGCCCCCCACUCGGUGAUACCUGAGAGCUCCUCAGGGCAGGGCCCCUCUCCAGGGAUGCAGGCCCAUCAGUUCCCGCCUCUGCUGCCUCCAUGGAGGAUUGGCCCCCAAAGCCCAGGAUGCUGAUAGGCAAGAAAGGACUCCUCUUGCCGGGACCAGGGCAGGGGCUGCUCGACAGCCAGUCCAGGAGCAGCCUGCCUCCCCAGCAGCCCUUCCCCCGGCCUUUCCAUGGCACACAUCCCCUCAGCUCUCCCAAAGGCUCCCCACAAAGGAGAGGCUCCCCUAGAGGAUGCCUCCUCUCUGCUGCAAAAUAGACAGCCAGCAAGCGAUAUCGGAUUCCAGUGUAGGUUAAACAUGUGCAUUUCUUCUAAACAUAUUUCACAAGAAAAGGAGGAAAAAACCAUGAGAAAGGGGGGAACCGAGCGAACAACGAAGGGUGCAAAUCUCUGCUGGUCCACAUGCGGUGCCCGUGGGCCUCUCUGCCCGCAGAUGGUACUUUCCAUCCCAAGUCGACUGGAACCGCCUUGAACCAGCUCAUUGUUGAAAAGGGCUGAGUCCCUCGCAGCAGGUCGUCAUAAUGCUGUGGCCGUGUACCAUGAUCUCCUGGCUCUGCUCACUGCCCUGGGCAUCGGUUCCUGUAAGUCUCUCCAGCUUCUCCAAAAGCAGCCGCUGGUCAUUUCCUUCAGAACAAUAUUCUUCUAUGUUCAUUUACAGUAACUUGGGCCUCCACUCAGUGUCCAGUUCCUCGCCAUUACAACCAAUUUGGCGCGUGGGGGCCACUUUCCCUUUUCUAUGCUCGUUUGGUAGGGACGCGGCUGGAGGAAAGGACCCUGACCCGCUUUAUCCUUCCCCAGAGGCUCCUUCCUGUGGCACUCGGAGCCCUCCCAGUCCCCCCCCCACUCCCACUCCCACUCCCCUGGCCAGUCUGGGAAUACCUACCUCACAGCAGCUCCCCCGAAGCUGCCCGGACAGCCGGCUACCUCACACUGUCCUGUUUCAGCUCCGAGACACCAAGCUCAGUUCCCAUUUGGAUGUAAGCUCUUGGAGGCCGGGGACCAUUUGCCUUUGUGUCCCCAGGCCAAGGGUGGAGGGUGCCUGGGUUACCGGAAGCACUUAAGGGGCGGCUGGGCUGGGCAGCGGAGAGAAUGCCAGGCUGCAGUUUAAAUCCGACCUCGCUUCCCAGCUGUGUGAUGCUGGACAGUCACUUCACCCCGUCUGCCUCUGUUUCCUCAUCUGUAAAAUGAGCCGCAGAAGGAAAUGGCCAAACCCUUCCAGUGUCUCUGCCAAGAAAACCCCAAAUGGGGCCAUGUGAACA
RNAcentral lists this long non-coding RNA (1885 nucleotides) under Sarcophilus harrisii (Tasmanian devil). RNAcentral's name for it is "lncRNA (ENSSHAG00000029384.1)". The record is from RNAcentral. Lineage: Eukaryota; Metazoa; Chordata; Mammalia; Dasyuromorphia; Dasyuridae.